This 459-nucleotide ribosomal RNA is filed under the name Streptococcus vestibularis. Its description in RNAcentral is "bacterial SSU rRNA". It matches the Rfam family "Bacterial small subunit ribosomal RNA", at positions 28 to 493 of the family's 1533-position model. Lineage: Bacteria; Bacillati; Bacillota; Bacilli; Lactobacillales; Streptococcaceae. The record is from RNAcentral.
GACGAACGCUGGCGGCGUGCCUAAUACAUGCAAGUAGAACGCUGAAGAGAGGAGCUUGCUCUUCUUGGAAGAGUUGCGAACGGGUGAGUAACGCGUAGGUAACCUGCCUUGUAGCGGGGGAUAACUAUUGGAAACGAUAGCUAAUACCGCAUAACAAUGGGUGACCCAUGUCAUUCAUUUGAAAGGGGCAAAUGCUCCACUACAAGAUGGACCUGCGUUGUAUUAGCUAGUAGGUGAGGUAACGGCUCACCUAGGCGACGAUACAUAGCCGACCUGAGAGGGUGAUCGGCCACACUGGGACUGAGACACGGCCCAGACUCCUACGGGAGGCAGCAGUAGGGAAUCUUCGGCAAUGGGGGCAACCCUGACCGAGCAACGCCGCGUGAGUGAAGAAGGUUUUCGGAUCGUAAAGCUCUGUUGUAAGUCAAAGAAACGAAGUGUGAAGAAGUGGAAAAGUUC